UCCGUGGUGGCUCAGACAGUAAAGCAUCUGCCUACAAUGCAGGAGACCCGGGUUUGAUCCCUGGUUGGGGAA
This is a non-coding RNA of Bos taurus (domestic cattle), 72 nucleotides long. The record is from Rfam. Lineage: Eukaryota; Metazoa; Chordata; Mammalia; Artiodactyla; Bovidae.